Molecule: ribosomal RNA, 850 nt
Filed under: uncultured bacterium
Lineage: Bacteria
Description: bacterial SSU rRNA
Rfam family: Bacterial small subunit ribosomal RNA
Source: RNAcentral
CCCUUAGAGUUUGAUCCUGGCUCAGAACGAACGCUGGCGGCAGGCUUAACACAUGCAAGUCGAACGGUUGUAGCAAUACAGCAGUGGCAGACGGGUGAGUAACACGUGGGAACCUUCCUAGGGGUACGGAACAACUCAGGGAAACUUGAGCUAAUACCGUAUACGUCCGUGAGGAGAAAGAUUUAUCGCCCCUAGACGGGCCCGCGUAGGAUUAGGUAGUUGGUGAGGUAACGGCUCACCAAGCCUACGAUCCUUAGCUGAUCUGAGAGGAUGAUCAGCCACACUGGGACUGAGACACGGCCCAGACUCCUACGGGAGGCAGCAGUGGGGAAUCUUGGACAAUGGGCGCAAGCCUGAUCCAGCCAUGCCGCGUGAGUGAAGAAGGCCUUCGGGUUGUAAAGCUCUUUUACCAGGGACGAUAAUGACGGUACCUGGAGAAUAAGCCCCGGCAAACUUCGUGCCAGCAGCCGCGGUAAUACGAAGGGGGCUAGCGUUGUUCGGAAUUACUGGGCGUAAAGCGCACGUAGGCGGGUCGUUAAGUCAGGGGUGAAAUCCCAGAGCUCAACUCUGGAACUGCCUUUGAUACUGGCGACCUAGAGUCCGGAAGAGGUUAGUGGAAUUCCCAGUGUAGAGGUGAAAUUCGUAGAUAUUGGGAAGAACACCAGUGGCGAAGCGGCUAACUGGUCCCGUACUGACGCUGAGUGCGAAAGCGUGGGGAGCAAACAGAUUAGAUACCCUGGUAGUCCACGCCGUAAACUAUGGGUGCUAGCCGUCAGAAGCUUGCUUUUUGGUGGCGCAGCUACGCAUAAGCACCCGCCUGGGGAGUACGUCGCAGAUAAACUCAAAGAAU